RNAcentral lists this unclassified non-coding RNA (253 nucleotides) under uncultured Elusimicrobia bacterium. RNAcentral describes it as "contains 16S-23S intergenic spacer region". It matches the Rfam family "Bacterial small subunit ribosomal RNA", at positions 524 to 776 of the family's 1533-position model. The record is from RNAcentral. Lineage: Bacteria; Pseudomonadati; Elusimicrobiota; Elusimicrobia.
UACGAAGGUGGCGAGCGUUACUCGGAAUUACUAGGCGUAAAGCGUAGGUAGGUGGUCGAGAAAGUCUGCUGUGAAAGCUCCUGGCUUAACCGGGAGAGGUCAGUGGAAACUUCUUGACUUGAGUGUAGGAGAGGGUACUGGAAUUCCCGGAGUAGCGGUGAAAUGCGCAGAGAUCGGGAGGAACACCAAAGGCGAAAGCAGGUACCUGGACUAUUACUGACACUGAGCUACGAAAGCUAGGGGAGCAAACAGG